Molecule: ribosomal RNA, 254 nt
Filed under: uncultured bacterium
Lineage: Bacteria
Description: partial 16S ribosomal RNA
Rfam family: Bacterial small subunit ribosomal RNA
Source: RNAcentral
CUUUCUUUGCUGGCGACCGGCGCACGGGUGAGUAACACGUAUCCAACCUGCCCUUUACUCGGGGAUAGCCUUUCGAAAGAAAGAUUAAUACCCGAUAGCAUAAUGAUUCCGCAUGGUUUCAUUAUUAAAGGAUUCCGGUAAAGGAUGGGGAUGCGUUCCAUUAGGUUGUUGGUGGGGUAACGGCCCACCAAGCCUUCGAUGGAUAGGGGUUCUGAGAGGAAGGUCCCCCACAUUGGAACUGAGGCACGGUCCAA